AAACUAACAAGGAUUCCCCUAGUAGCGGCGAGCGAAGCGGGAAGAGCUCAAAUUUAUAAUCUGGCACCUUCGGUGUCCGAGUUGUAAUCUCUAGAAAUGUUUUCCGCGUUGGACCGCACACAAGUCUGUUGGAAUACAGCGGCAUAGUGGUGAGACCCCCGUAUAUGGUGCGGACGCCCAGCGCUUUGUGAUACAUUUUCGAAGAGUCGAGUUGUUUGGGAAUGCAGCUCAAAUUGGGUGGUAAAUUCCAUCUAAAGCUAAAUAUUGGCGAGAGACCGAUAGCGAACAAGUACCGUGAGGGAAAGAUGAAAAGCACUUUGGAAAGAGAGUUAACAGUACGUGAAAUUGUUGGAAGGGAAACGCUUGAAGUCAGACUUGCUUGCCGAGCAAUCGGUUUGCAGGCCAGCAUCAGUUUUCCGGGAUGGAUAAUGGUAGAGAGAAGGUAGCAGUUUCGGCUGUGUUAUAGCUCUCUGCUGGAUACAUCUUGGGGGACUGAGGAACGCAGUGUGCCUUUGGCGGGGGUUUCGACCUCUCACACUAGGAUGC
Molecule: ribosomal RNA, 546 nt
Filed under: Rhodotorula mucilaginosa
Lineage: Eukaryota; Fungi; Basidiomycota; Microbotryomycetes; Sporidiobolales; Sporidiobolaceae
Description: partial large subunit ribosomal RNA
Rfam family: Eukaryotic large subunit ribosomal RNA
Source: RNAcentral